This 74-nucleotide transfer RNA is filed under the name Synergistaceae bacterium. Its description in RNAcentral is "tRNA-Gln". It matches the Rfam family "tRNA". From Rfam's summary of the family: Transfer RNA (tRNA) molecules are approximately 80 nucleotides in length. Lineage: Bacteria; Thermotogati; Synergistota; Synergistia; Synergistales; Synergistaceae. The record is from RNAcentral.
UGGGGAAUCGUCUAAUGGCAGGACAGCUGACUCUGGAUCAGCCGAUCGUGGUUCGAAUCCACGUUCCCCAGCCA